CAGAGAAUAGUUUAAAUGGAGAAUGUUAGCUUUGGGAGUUGAUAGUAAGGGUUAAAAUCCCUUUUCUCUGA
RNAcentral lists this transfer RNA (71 nucleotides) under Acanthopagrus schlegelii (black porgy). RNAcentral's name for it is "tRNA-Pro". It matches the Rfam family "tRNA". From Rfam's summary of the family: Transfer RNA (tRNA) molecules are approximately 80 nucleotides in length. Lineage: Eukaryota; Metazoa; Chordata; Actinopteri; Spariformes; Sparidae. The record is from RNAcentral. RNAcentral also lists the same sequence under 1 other name.